This 400-nucleotide ribosomal RNA is filed under the name uncultured bacterium. RNAcentral's name for it is "bacterial SSU rRNA". It matches the Rfam family "Bacterial small subunit ribosomal RNA", at positions 355 to 768 of the family's 1533-position model. The record is from RNAcentral.
UGGGGAAUUUUCCGCAAUGGGCGAAAGCCUGACGGAGCAAGACCGCGUGGGGGAGGAAGGUUCUUGGAUUGUCAACCCCUUUUCUCAGGGAAGAACAAAAUGACGGUACCUGAGGAAUCAGCAUCGGCUAACUCCGUGCCAGCAGCCGCGGUAAUACGGAGGAUGCAAGCGUUAUCCGGAAUGAUUGGGCGUAAAGAGUCCGUAGGUGGCUAGCCAAGUCGAUUGUCAAAGCACGAGGCUUAACUUCGUUCAGGCCGUCGAAACUGGCAAGCUAGAGAGCAGUAGGGGCAGAAGGAAUUCCUGGUGUAGCGGUGAAAUGCGUAGAGAUCAGGAAGAACACCGGUGGCGAAAGCGUUCUGCUGGGCUGCAUUCUGACACUGAGGGACGAAAGCUAGGGGAG